AUUCCGUGAUGAGGGCACUUUCGUAAUAAAUUUUUCUACCUUUCCUAUGCUUCAUACAAGGACUCAUCAUCCAUUUUUUGGAAGGCAUUGAUCUCGUUCCUCAACUU
This is a small nucleolar RNA of Gossypium arboreum, 107 nucleotides long. It matches the Rfam family "Plant small nucleolar RNA R71". Rfam says of the family: R71 is a member of the C/D box family of snoRNAs containing the C (UGAUGA) and D (CUGA) box motifs. Multiple nearly identical copies of this snoRNA have been identified in Arabidopsis, and it is thought to function as a 2'-O-ribose methylation guide for 18S ribosomal RNA. The record is from Rfam. NCBI's taxonomy places the organism in Eukaryota, Viridiplantae, Streptophyta, Magnoliopsida, Malvales, Malvaceae.